GAGAGAGAGAGAGAGAGAGAGAGAGAGAGAGAGAGAGAGUUGAGCUGGAAUACUAUGAAUAGUUUUUGGGUUCUUUUGCUAUCGAUUUUUUAGCCGUUAGAUCUACACUUUAAUCAAUUAUAUCAUUUAAAUCAUACUAUUCAACCACCCAACCACUCAACGCUAGGGGGGCCACCACUAAACUCUAGGGUACCGUUUGGUUCAGGGAUAAGUAAGGACUAGCUGUUUUAGGGAUAGGUACAAGUAUGAGGAUUAGAGUAAUUUUGUGUUUGGAUAAAAAUAGAUAUAAGGAUAGGUAUAAGGAGGGAUAGGAGAAAAAGUGUUUGGAUGGUAUUUGGGGAUAAGAGGAUAGUGGAUUGGUAAAAGUAUAAAAUUACCAAAUUACCCCUACUGAGAAAAAGAGAAUGGUGAGUGGCAGGAUUGAUAAGUUUUAUUAUUUUAAAUUCAUAUGUACAUUAAAUAAUGCGAAUAUUUUUUACCCAUUAUUUUUUAACCAAUACAAUAAUAAAAAUAUCA
Molecule: long non-coding RNA, 516 nt
Filed under: Ananas comosus (pineapple)
Lineage: Eukaryota; Viridiplantae; Streptophyta; Magnoliopsida; Poales; Bromeliaceae
Description: long non-coding RNA (ACOM_LNC010708)
Source: RNAcentral